This 832-nucleotide long non-coding RNA is filed under the name Manacus vitellinus (golden-collared manakin). Its description in RNAcentral is "lncRNA (ENSMVIG00005014384.1)". The record is from RNAcentral. Lineage: Eukaryota; Metazoa; Chordata; Aves; Passeriformes; Pipridae.
AUGAGUGACAAUCCUGAUGGUGUGGGAAAACUGAGGUGGCAAAAUGUCUGGAGCCUCAUCUUGAAGAGCCUUGGAAGGGCCAAAAAGGUUCUUCCUUUUCCAGGUCACUGCCAGGUUUUAGAAGACACAGUUUUUCAGCAUCUGAAGCAGGAAAUCCCAGCUCUUUUCCAUGAGAAGAAGCACAGGGAUGACAGGGCUUCCCCCCAGAACACUCCCGGGGUAAUUGCUGAAGACAUUCCAAGCCACUCUAACGAAGUGCACUGUCUGCCAGUCAUUCUGUUCUCCUUGGAAGACCAUCUGUUGCACUUCAAAUAUGUAAAGAACUGCUGGUGCCAACCAGGGACUGACUGGCACAGGUUUGAACUCUCCACUGCUUGAUAGAUCUGCUUCACAUGGACCAAUUACAACAAUUCCCACCUCUGGAGCUGAAGUCGAAGCCCUUGGUCUUCCCUUCAUACCUCAGGUUGUUGGCAAUGUGUUCAGUCCUACAAUCUCCAUUUUCUCUGAAUAAUUAAGUGGAACAUAAAUGCUUCGAAAAAGUAGGAGAGAGUCUGAAUGGAAAUCAAAGGCUGAAUAAUAUUGUUUUUCAUGUUGCUGUUGUUAAGCUGCAUUUCUUUCCAUUUAUUCUUUGUUUCUAAAAGGCAGCAUCUUCUUUUAAGUUUUUUACAGAGAUUCACCAGAAGGUGCUGUAGUCCAUUGACUGUUAUAUUCAACAGUAUCUUUUAAUGUGAAUGAAAGAGCAAUAGGAAUUCCUGCUUUUUUUUUUUUAAAUGGGUUUAAAAAUAUAAAUAUUCCUUUCAAAAUAAAUACUUUUGACCAAAGUGGAAAAUCA